CUCUACGGCCAUGCUACCCUGAACACGCCCAUCCCGUCUGAUCUCGGAAGCUAAGCAGAGUCAGGCCUGGUUAGUACUUGGAUGGGAGACCACCUAGGAAGACCAGGUGCUGUAGGUG
This 118-nucleotide ribosomal RNA is filed under the name Pteropus alecto (black flying fox). Lineage: Eukaryota; Metazoa; Chordata; Mammalia; Chiroptera; Pteropodidae. The record is from RNAcentral.